This 2079-nucleotide long non-coding RNA is filed under the name Cicer arietinum (chickpea). RNAcentral's name for it is "long non-coding RNA (CARI_LNC001137)". Lineage: Eukaryota; Viridiplantae; Streptophyta; Magnoliopsida; Fabales; Fabaceae. The record is from RNAcentral.
ACUAUUUUAUCUCAAGUCCAUCCUCAGGAACAGAGUAGUGACAUGCAGCAAAGCUUUUUCAACAUUUCUGGGCAAACUAAUGAUCUGAUUCAGAAAGAAAGGGAUUUAAAUCUUGGCGAUCACAAAGAUGCUGUGAGGAGUGAAACCAAUGAGAUAAGUUCUGUCCCAAUAGAAUUGAAGAGCAAAAGUCAAGUGAAGGAAGAAAAGGAACAGUUUGACUGGGAUAGUUUGCGAAUAAAUGCACAAGCUAAGGCUGGGAAAAGAGAAAAGACAGAAAGCACCAUGGAUUCUUUAGACUGGGAUGCUGUGAGAUGUGCAGAUGUCGGCGAGAUUGCUAAUACCAUCAAAGAACGGGGCAUGAACAACAGGCUUGCCGAGCGUAUUCAGGUACAAUCAAACUUCAAUGAAAUAUUAUUGAUCACUUUCUGGACAGAUAGAACCUAGUGAGGCAGCCGGUUUUACAUGAUAUAUUAUGCAGAAAUUCCUGAAUAGACUGGUUGAAGAUCAUGGAAGUAUUGACCUCGAGUGGUUGAGAGACGUUCCACCUGACCAAGCAAAGUAAGUCAAAUGGUUAAUUAAGUUAUUUAAUUAAAGUACUAUUUCUCAUAAUGCAAUUUUAGCAUGUCUUGACUGUGGUUGGUGAAACCAACAUUCUGAACUCUCAAUCCACUGGUAACACAAUCAACUAGACCUAUUUCAUGCAAGAAAAAUAUACAUAUAAAUGUGCAUAAUAAAAUUCAAUUCAUACAUACAGAGAAUAUUUGCUGAGCGUAAGAGGGCUGGGAUUGAAGAGUGUGGAGUGUGUGCGGCUUUUAACACUGCACCAUCUUGCCUUCCCAGUAAGUUGAAAACAAUGUUAUUCAAGUGCAGGAAUAUCGAAUAAAUCUAACAAGUUAUUGCCAUAUAACAGGUAGACACAAAUGUUGGACGCAUCGCAGUACGACUGGGAUGGGUACCACUCCAGCCACUGCCCGAGUCACUACAGUUGCAUCUCCUAGAAAUGUGAGUACUACAUAAAUAAAUUCUAUAAGGCGUUAUUUACUUAGAUAAGAAAAGCUAAUAUCAUUGUCCAUUGUAGGUACCCGGUGUUGGAGUCCAUACAAAAGUAUCUCUGGCCUCGACUGUGCAAGCUAGAUCAAAAAACACUGUAAAUAUUUCUUUUGAAUUUAUGUAGCAAAAGAACAAAAACACACACUAAUAUUUUAUUUGUUUUUGUAAGUUUAGCAAGGGUAAUUUACCUAUUGAUUAUUAUUUUGUAUGUUUUAUUGCAAUUGUAAUUUAUUACAGAUAUGAGCUACACUACCAGAUGAUUACCUUUGGAAAGGUAAACUGCAUUUUCUUAUGAGAGACUGAUCCUACUUAACCGAUACCCAUCAUGAUUUGAAUAUGAACUACAAUGAAUGCAGGUCUUCUGUACAAAAAGCAAACCAAAUUGUAAUGCAUGCCCAAUGAGAGCAGAAUGUCGGCACUUUGCUAGUGCAUUUGCAAGGUAUGCAAAUAAUAAUAUAAUAUAUUAAAAUUCUGAGUGGAAAAACUAUGCAGCAUCAUGUGACAUGUAGAACUCUUUUUUUCAUGCAUUAGAACUAUAGAAGGCACUGCAAGAAUUAUUCUUAGAAAUAAAGGUAGGGAACAAGAGAGACAGUAAUACUAGAAAGUUCAUAUAUCCAUAAUAGUAAAUUCAAGAAAUGGCUACUUAGGUAACAGCUGAAAAAAUUUCUCAAUGCCACACUAAAAAUCCAACAAUAUGCAUGUACUGUAAAUUAUGAUAAGAUCAAUUACAGAAGAUUUAUUGCUUGCAGUGCAAGGCUUGCCCUGCCUGGACCAGAGCAGAAGAGUAUAGUAACUGCAACUGGCAAUAGUGCGACUGAUGAGAACCCACCUGUAUUCACAACUCAGUUGCACUUGCCUCUUCCUGAGAACACAAACCAAGUAGAAGAAAUUCUGCAAACAGAAGCGAACAGACAACUGGAACCAAGAUCUGAAGUAAAUAUCUGUCAACCUAUCAUUGAAGAGCCAACAACUCCAGAGCCAGAAUGUUUGCAGGUAUCAGAAAUUGAUAUGGAGGAUGCCUUCUACGAU